GACGAACGCUGGCGGCGUGCUUAACACAUGCGAGUCGAACGGAAAGGCCCUGCUUGCAGGGUACUCGAGUGGCGAACGGGUGAGUAAAAGGGGGGGAACUGCCCUGCACUUCGGGAUAAGCCUGGGGAACUGGGUCUAAUAACGGGUAGGAGGCAUUUUUAGGGUGGUGGUUGGAAAGGUUUUUCGGUGUAGGAUGAGCUCGCGGCCUAUCAGCUUGUUGGUGGGGUAAUGGCCUACCAAGGCGGCGACGGGUAGCCGGCCUGAGAGGGUGGACGGCCACAUUGGGACUGAGAUACGGCCCAGACUCCUACGGGAGGCAGCAGUGGGGAAUAUUGCACAAUGGGCGCAAGCCUGAUGCAGCGACGCCGCGUGGGGGAUGACGGCCUUCGGGUUGUAAACUCCUUUCGCUAGGGACGAAGCUUUUUGUGACGGUACCUAGAUAAGAAGCACCGGCUAACUACGUG
This 464-nucleotide ribosomal RNA is filed under the name uncultured bacterium. RNAcentral describes it as "partial 16S ribosomal RNA". It matches the Rfam family "Bacterial small subunit ribosomal RNA", at positions 28 to 507 of the family's 1533-position model. The record is from RNAcentral.